CCUACGGGGUGCAGCAGUGAGGAAUUUUGGUCAAUGGACGAGAGUCUGAACCAGCCAAGUAGCGUGAAGGAUGACUGCCCUAUGGGUUGUAAACUUCUUUUAUAUGGGAAUAAAACGUUCCACUUGUGGGAUUUUGUAUGUACCAUAUGAAUAAGGAUCGGCUAACUCCGUGCCAGCAGCCGCGGUAAUACGGAGGAUCCGAGCGUUAUCCGGAUUUAUUGGGUUUAAAGGGAGCGUAGGUGGAUUGUUAAGUCAGUUGUGAAAGUUUGCGGCUCAACCGUAAAAGUGCAGUUGAAACUGGCAGUCUUGAGUACAGUAGAGGUGGGCGGAAUUCGUGGUGUAGCGGUGAAAUGCUUAGAUAUCACGAAGAACUCCGAUUGCGAAGGCAGUUCACUGGACUGCAACUGACACUGAGGCUCGAAAGUGUGGGUAUCAAACAGGAGUAGAUACCCCUGUAGUC
This 460-nucleotide ribosomal RNA is filed under the name uncultured bacterium. RNAcentral describes it as "partial 16S ribosomal RNA". It matches the Rfam family "Bacterial small subunit ribosomal RNA", at positions 338 to 795 of the family's 1533-position model. The record is from RNAcentral.